Molecule: ribosomal RNA, 498 nt
Filed under: uncultured bacterium
Lineage: Bacteria
Description: partial 16S ribosomal RNA
Rfam family: Bacterial small subunit ribosomal RNA
Source: RNAcentral
AUUGAACGCUGGCGGCAUGCCUUACACAUGCAAGUCGAACGGUAACAGGUCUUCGGAUGCUGACGAGUGGCGAACGGGUGAGUAAUACAUCGGAACGUGCCUAGUAGUGGGGGAUAACUACUCGAAAGAGUGGCUAAUACCGCAUGAGAUCUACGGAUGAAAGCAGGGGAUCGCAAGACCUUGUGCUACUAGAGCGGCCGAUGGCAGAUUAGGUAGUUGGUGGGAUAAAAGCUUACCAAGCCGACGAUCUGUAGCUGGUCUGAGAGGACGAUAAGCCACACGGGGACUGAGACACGGCCCAGACUCCUACGGGAGGCAGCAGUGGGGAAUUUUGGACAAUGGGCGAAAGCCUGAUCCAGCAAUGCCGCGUGCAGGAUGAAGGCCUUCGGGUUGUAAACUGCUUUUGUACGGAACGAAAAGCCCCGGGUUAAUACCCUGGGGUCAUGACGGUACCGUAAGAAUAAGCACCGGCUAACUACGUGCCAGCCGCCGCAGUAA